CUCUCAUAACUUCACUUUUCUACAAACCCUAAUCUUUCAUUCACUCCUUCAUUGUUCUUUGCAGAGUCGCGUAAACCACAAAGAUUGAAUCGGAUCACUUAUGUUCUUUUGUCUCUAUUAUUGAUAUCUUUCACACUUUCCUUUUUUCUCCAAACCCUAAACAAAACCCUUGCUGCAUCCGGUUCUUCCUUCGGCGAUUCAUCAAUAUUAAUCACAAGUAUGUUUUUCGCUCUUGAUCUUUGAUGUUUUUGUUCUUUGAUUCGAAUCGUGUUAAUCGUAUUAUUGGUUUUUUGUUUUUGAUCUCAUAAACACUACAUACUCAAUGUCUACAACAGUUCUUUUCUAUGGCUAUUCUUCAAUUGGUAACACAGGUCUGAUGUUCUUUUUUGAUUUUGAUGUUUUUGAUCUAUUCAUGUGAUAAAUCUUUGAUUUGUUGCUUUGGAUUUCACAAACCCUACAUAUUGUAUCUCUACCUAUUGUUCGUUAUUUUGGGCGAUUUUUCAAUUGUAAACAGAUGUAUGUUGUUUCUUCUUGAUCUUUGAUGUUUUCGGUUUAUUUAUGUGACAAGUAUUUGAAUCACAGAGCAUCAAUUUUUGGCAAUUUUUUCAGUUAGCGUAUCAAUUUUUUGGCAAUUUUUUUUCAUAUGAUUCUAAUCACAUUAAUCGUCUUUUUUUCCUUCUGAGAUCCAAUAAUCACAUUCUACAGCAAAAAAAGAGAUAGAUCUAAAAUGUUUUGAUGAUAGGUGUGUUUGGAAGGUUUAUAUGGAUCUAAAAUCUGAUAUGUAUGAAGCAAUUUGUGGAUGAAAAUGGAGAAUUCAUCUGAGUUUGGUUAUCAAGUUUUUGGUAGCUGUAGAGGGUUAAAUUCUUCAAAGGCUUGAAACAGAAAUUCCAUAUCAGAUCAUGAUUCUGUGAUAUCAGCAGACAUUGCAAGACCAGAUAAGACUGUGUUGACUUGAUUGAAUUGAGUUAGAACUCAGUUUGGUUACUUUCAUGAAGAUGUUGUGUGGUUAUUCGUUCGAUGGAGCAUAAAGAUAUUAGGAGUCAAUCCUUUUGCUAAGAGAAUUCAUAUAAAAAUGAGCGAGUCAAUAAACAAGAGAAAAAUCAGAAGCUACAAAAGUUGGUACUUUGCCAAGGUUUUAUGUUUUUUCGUACUUUCAUAUCAAUAUGCAGUUAUAGAUCUUAUCUUAAGUUAUAUUUAUAUGAAAUUUGAACCCCUCUUUCCCCUGUGGUCAUGUUCAACUUGCUACAACAACAUUGGCUUUAACUAGGACUCAAAUUGCACCAAGAAAGGCUAGCAAGGAUGACCAACAAAAUGUAGCAGAAAUGGCAGCAAUAUCGACUGCCAGUGGUGGUAAAUUUGACAAAAAGUUGGUUGGUGAAAAACCUCCCAAACAUGAAAAGAUAUACAUGAAGUUCUUACCUACGUCGAAGGAUCAUGAAUGGGUUCCUUAGAGAAGCAAUAAUUUGAUAAGAUUCCGCACAAGUUAACCAACAAUUCUGAUGAAGUUUUGAAUGUUGGAAAGGUAAUGAUAUUUAUACACUUUUCCAACAUUUUGUCACCUUAUAAAGGUAGCAAAUUUUGGUGUGUCUAAGUGUAGACGGGUAGUUUACGGCUGUGCUUUUCUUAAUAGGAUAAAAUAGGUGAGUGUAUAUAAUUGGUUAAAUUUGACAUGAUUCAUAAUCGGUUCGGUGGUUUAUGACAUGAGUGCGAUAUUAGCAGCGAAACUGACAAAAAGAUUGGGUUUUGGAAUGUCGCCACAGGUAACACUAUCAACACAUAUUCUCAAUUUCGCCACAGGUAACACUAUCAACACAUAUUCUCAUCGAUUUCAUUAAUUUGUUGUGUGAAUAUGUAAAUUUAUGAUAAGCUAUUGGAUUAGUUUUGUUGAUUAAGCGUUAUGCAAAUAUGAGCGAAUUCGGAUGAGAUUUUAAUAUUUUACCUACCGACUUUAUGGAUUUUUUGUACAAUUUCGAUGAAUGAUUGUGUAAUUGUUGAUAAUCAAUCUCAAUUUGGCGACAGGUAACGAAUAAUGAUACGAACACACAUUUUGUGAUUCUGUACCAAUGGAUCGAGUUGAGAUACGUGAUUUGGGAUUUUGCUUUUGUUUUUCCGUAUAAUUUCAAUUUCGAUGAUAAUCCAUUCGUGAUUUCGUUUGCGUAAGCGAUAUGCGAAGUGAUUUGAUUGUCUGAGUGUGUAAAUUGUUGAUAAUUGAUCGGAUUAGGUUUGAUAAUUCUGUGUGAUUUCAUUUUGCGUAAACCGUAAGCGUUUUGUACGUAUGAUUGAAUUUAGAUGAGAUUUUACUUUUGUUUAUAUGCAUCACCAUCUACACUCUCCGUAUCUGUCCUCGGUUAUGCAUAAAGUUAUCUAGGAUCUUAAUUCCAAUCGUUCGAUCUCAGUUUAGCAACAAUAGCAGCAUGAACACAUAUUCCGUGAUUGUAACAUUGAUCGAGUUUGAGAUCCGUGAUGUCUGAUUUUGCCUUUUGUUUUUGUAUAAUUUAGUUGAAUUUGUUGUGUGAUUGUGUAAAUUGUUGAUAAUUGAUCAAAUUAGGUUUGAUAAUUCAAUUUGAUUUUUGUUUGCUUAACCGUUAAACGAAUAUGAUUCAAUUCAGACUAGAUUUUGCGUAAAGAGUUUAUCGAUUAUUCGAUUGUUGUAACUUUUUGGUGGUCGGUAUAGAACAUGUUCCAAUUGAUCAAGUUUCGGGUCAAGCAUUACCCAUUAAUUCAGAUCUAUAUAAAAGCUUUUUUCUUUUUUGACAGCCUCCUUGUAGGAUCGUUUGCUGACCCAACGAGUCGUUCAGAAGAGCACUUAGACUAAUUCAGAGGCGGAAUUCAUUGAAUUAGUCUUCGUAAAGCUUGAUUUCACUACUUAACGUCUCCUGUAUUGAUUAUAUGUCAAAUUACAAGUCUGUGGAGACAAUCGGGCAGGGCUUCGCCGUUACACCUUAGAAAACACACACAUAAGCUCUGCUUGGAACCGCUCAUAUGACACCUAUAUAUAGGAGUCUUGGGCCGCUCAUAUGGACAAGUCCAUAUGAGCGAUCCAACCAAGUGAUAUAUGAGCGAUCCACUUGAUUGCCACAUAAGCGACCCACCUAUUCUACCCUAUAAGCGGCCCUCAACAAUACAAGAUUUCUCGUUGACUGUUCACUAUACAAUCAGCCCUAUCCUAAGACUCGAAUUAAGAUGUAGUCGACAGACAACUGCACCAACACUCCUUUACUACAUGCUCCAUCUCUCCGCCUCUCCUCUUCCUAACCUUAAUCGGUAUGUAUUUUAAUCUCAAAAUGGAGCUUAAAGUGAUAAUUCUCAGUUUAACACAUGCGAAAUUUUUUGGUCCGAUGCAACGAUUGAAAACAUUCAGGUAAGUUUUCUUUUGAUCUAUAAUCUAAUCCACGUAUACGAUUGAAAACAUUUAGGUAAGUUUUCUUUUGAUCUAUAAUCUAAUCCACGUAUGUUUUUUGGUAUAGAUCUGGGUACAAAACAUGAGGCUAUUGAGAUGUUGGUUGCCUGUGGAUGUGAGAUGAAUGUCAGUGAUGGUUUCGAAUACUCGCCAGUUUUCCACAUGACUUCUACAAUUAGGUUCUAUAAAGAAGUGAUUGGAAGAAUAUGGCUACUCAAAGUGAAGUUGGAGCAAAAGGUGCUACUACUAGACCGCCUCCCAAUCCAUACAUUUUACGGAUUGUUAAGAUUUUUGAGGACCAGAUGGGCACUCUUGCAAUCGAUAUUGAAUCCGAUACAACUGUCCCAGAACCCCCAAUUGGCCUCCAGCACAGCUCGAAAUCUCCAGCGAUGAAAUGAAAAGGUUCUAAAAAGCACUCUUCUGUCUGUUUUCUUCACAACACUCUGUCGUGAAUGGUCAGGCAACAAUGUGCUCAGGCAGAAUGAAUACUUGGAAUAAAUGCACAAAACAUUUAAGAAGAAGAUGUUAGGAAGCAACUUAACAAAGGGUUUGUCCCACAUUGGAUAGAUGUUCGUUGUUUAGCAGCCUUGAUUAAGGAAGUAAGAUGCGUGUGAAAAAAAAACGCUUUUUGGAUGGCUGCAGCCUAGGAAUACUAUACAGCCGAAAUGAGAGCACUUCAUAAGGCGGUGUAGGGACCUCAAUCGAUGGUGUUGGCUGCAGCUAUUGGUAGAAUUAAGCAGGUUUUGAAGAGAUAGUCUAAACACAACUGAAAACUAAUGAGAGUGAUGUUGAAGAAGGAGUUGGGUUUCAUGGUGUUGUUGAUAAGAUGGAUCUACCAGAUUAUUCUCUCCUAAUGGAUAUAGAUCAUGGAAAGUUUGAUGUUGAUGUCAAUACCCAUUUCAAAGGGAGGCAGGAAUAUCGUGCAUCUUAUUUAAGAGAUACAGUAGGAAGACAAUUGUCUUCACCUUAGAGAAACUCUCCUGCACUAUAGCAAAUGAGUAUGUGAUUUGGAUUUGUAAUAGUGGUAAUUAUACCACUUCUUAUUAGUACUUUUAUGUAUAUACAAGUCAGGUUAUGGUGAAAAAAUAUUUAGUUAUAUAGGCCCUAAUAUGUAAUAGGGGGUUCCUUUGUUUAUAUUGUAAGCUUUUUGGUUGUGUAUAAAA
This is a long non-coding RNA of Helianthus annuus (common sunflower), 4563 nucleotides long. RefSeq lists it as uncharacterized. The transcript is spliced from 9 exons. Lineage: Eukaryota; Viridiplantae; Streptophyta; Magnoliopsida; Asterales; Asteraceae. The record is from RefSeq and is a predicted model, not a curated record.